This 451-nucleotide ribosomal RNA is filed under the name uncultured bacterium. Its description in RNAcentral is "partial 16S ribosomal RNA". It matches the Rfam family "Bacterial small subunit ribosomal RNA", at positions 354 to 796 of the family's 1533-position model. The record is from RNAcentral.
GUGGGGAAUAUUGGACAAUGGGGGGAACCCUGAUCCAGCCAUGCCGCGUGUGUGAAGAAGGCCUUUUGGUUGUAAAGCACUUUAAGCGAGGAGGAGGCUACCGAGAUUAAUACUCUUGGAUAGUGGACGUUACUCGCAGAAUAAGCACCGGCUAACUCUGUGCCAGCAGCCGCGGUAAUACAGAGGGUGCAAGCGUUAAUCGGAUUUACUGGGCGUAAAGCGCGCGUAGGUGGCCAAUUAAGUCAAAUGUAAAAUCCCCGAGCUUAACUUGGGAAUUGCAUUCGAUACUGGUUGGCUAGAGUAUGGGAGAGGAUGGUAGAAUUCCAGGUGUAGCGGUGAAAUGCGUAGAGAUCUGGAGGAAUACCGAUGGCGAAGGCAGCCAUCUGGCCUAAUACUGACACUGAGGUGCGAAAGCAUGGGGAGCAAACAGGAUUAGAAACCCUGGUAGUCC